AUGAAAAUCCGGAGGACCGAGUACCGUUCACGCCUAGUCGUACUCAUAAUCGCAUCAGGUCUCCAAGGUGAACAGCCUCUGGCCAAUGGAACAAUGCAGGCAAGGGAAGUCGGCAAAACGAUUCGUAACUUCGGGAAAAGGAUUGGCUCGGAGGACUGGGCUCGGGUGUCCCGGCCCCGAACCCGUCGGCUGUCGACGGAUUGCUCGAGCUGCUCACGAGGCGAGCGCGGGUCGCCGCGUGCCGGCCGGGGGACGGACCGGGAAUCGCCCCUUCGGGGGCUUUCCCCGAGCAUGAAACAGUCGACUCAGAACUGGUACGGACAAGGGGAAUCCGACUGUUUAAUUAAAACAAAGCAUUGCGAUGGUCCUCGCGGAUGCUGA
RNAcentral lists this ribosomal RNA (381 nucleotides) under Triticum aestivum (bread wheat). RNAcentral's name for it is "partial small subunit ribosomal RNA". It matches the Rfam family "Eukaryotic large subunit ribosomal RNA", at positions 1805 to 2184 of the family's 3401-position model. The record is from RNAcentral. Lineage: Eukaryota; Viridiplantae; Streptophyta; Magnoliopsida; Poales; Poaceae.